GAUGAACGCUGGCGGCGUGCCUAACACAUGCAAGUCGAGCGCGACUGAUUUGAUGCUUGCAUCAUUGAAAGUUGAGCGGCGGACGGGUGAGUAACGCGUGGGUAACCUGCCCUAUACACAUGGAUAACAUACUGAAAAGUUUACUAAUACAUGAUAAUGUAUAUUUACGGCAUCGUAGAUAUAUCAAAGUGUUAGCGGUAUAGGAUGGACCCGCGUCUGAUUAGCUAGUUGGUGAGAUAACUGCCCACCAAGGCGACGAUCAGUAGCCGACCUGAGAGGGUGAUCGGCCACAUUGGAACUGAGACACGGUCCAA
This 314-nucleotide ribosomal RNA is filed under the name uncultured bacterium. Its description in RNAcentral is "bacterial SSU rRNA". It matches the Rfam family "Bacterial small subunit ribosomal RNA", at positions 28 to 334 of the family's 1533-position model. The record is from RNAcentral.